GAUGAACGCUGGCGGCGUGCUUAACACAUGCAAGUCGAACGAACCUUCGGGUUAGUGGCGGACGGGUGAGUAACGCGUGAGAAUCUGCCCUCAGGAGGGGGACAACAGCUGGAAACGGCUGCUAAUACCCCAUAUGCCGCGAGGUGAAAUGAAUUUCGCCUGAGGAUGAGCUCGCGUCUGAUUAGCUAGUUGGUGUAGGUAAUGGCUCACCAAGGCAUCGAUCAGUAGCUGGUCUGAGAGGAUGAUCAGCCACACUGGGACUGAGACACGGCCCAGACUCCUACGGGAGGCAGCAGUGGGGAAUUUUCCGCAAUGGGCGAAAGCCUGACGGAGCAACGCCGCGUGAGGGAUGAAGGCCUCUGGGCUGUAAACCUCUUUUAUCAAGGAAGAAGAUCUGACGGUACUUGAGGGAUAAGCCACGGCUAAUUCCGUG
This 433-nucleotide ribosomal RNA is filed under the name uncultured bacterium. RNAcentral describes it as "bacterial SSU rRNA". It matches the Rfam family "Bacterial small subunit ribosomal RNA", at positions 28 to 507 of the family's 1533-position model. The record is from RNAcentral.